This 1421-nucleotide long non-coding RNA is filed under the name Homo sapiens (human). RNAcentral describes it as "PREDICTED lncRNA (TCONS_00189023)". The stretch from base 620 to 895 matches the Rfam family "SOX2 overlapping transcript exon 3". Lineage: Eukaryota; Metazoa; Chordata; Mammalia; Primates; Hominidae. The record is from RNAcentral.
GAGGGGAAAGGCAUAGAGAAAAAGGGGAGAAGACACUCUUGCAAAAGAAGGGAGAAACAGAAGCAAUAGCUCCUUACAUUUCCUCAGAAAGGGAGAGUGAGAAAGCUUGAUUAUUUUCUAGGAAAUGGUAUGUAGAAAGGUUUGGCAGGAGGUGAGUUUAUGAGGGAAUUUGAAAGUAUUAAAGGGAAAAUUACUUCUCUGAAAAAGCAAGAAGAGUACAGAGACACAAGAGCCAAGGAGAAGAAAGUUUUGUUAUGAACAUGCUUGAAGUUUUGCCGACAUUCUGGACAUAUGUAAACAGAGUGCUCAAUGGAACAUCUGUCUGCUGCAGCCACUACUUCCUUCAUUGGACUGCAAGGUAUUUCUGUUUGGAAAAGUAAUGGAGUCCAGUCAACUUCAUUGAUCGCCAAGGACUGUCAAAAUUAUAAAACUUGCUGUGGAGCUCUGACAUGCCAGAAGCCGCUAGAAAAAGAAGUUUGACAUUCAGAAACUUAUCAAGAGGUUCUACUCUUUGGAUAGAGACCAAAAUCAUACUUUGAAAAAGCCUGACAGGUUUCUUCGGAAAAGUGGCCAUCCAUGGAAUGAAUGAAAUGUUCUCUUUCUAUUCCAGGGAUUGCAGUGGCAAAGCUAGGCUAGGUCUUGGAGGCUGGUGUAAGGCGAUGUGGGUGAAGGCAGGAGGCUGAUGGAAAGACUGGGGGGAAGAAAAGCCGAAAUGGAUUCACGGUGCCUUGGAUGAAGGACGAGAGGGGAACUGCAAGCUCCUUCAACUGGUUCUGUCCGGUGAGAAGUGAUCAAGCUUGGGCUGACAAGAGGCUCAGGGAGCCCUCACGUUCUUUCGCUUUUUUACCUGCCAAUCAAACUGCUACAAGACAACACCCUGAUCUGGCAUGGACAUUCAUUGCAGUCACCUGGAGUCACGGAAAUGACCAUGAUUGCCUGAACUUUCAUGACUUCUGUGGAUAACUGUGGUUGCAGAAAAGAGAAAACCUGGACCGUGAGGGACAUUUCACUCCCUGGGCUUUGGUACAUGGCCUCCCUACAGCGUUGGCUCAGCUCUAGCUACUUGGAAGGUCGUGGCAAUGCUGUCUCAGAAUGUCCGUUUCUAGAGUACAGAGAAGAAAUUCUAGCUUGACGUCCACGUGCAUUUGUCUGUGUUUCAGAGGAAAUUCCAAUUCUAAACUCUUGGAAGAAACAAUUUCUCGGCAUGCUGAAGAGAAUUGCUGUUUUUUGGCACCUGAAACACUUUUACCCAAGGGUUCUGAUUAUUUAAAUAAUUGGUAUGCUAUAAAUAUUCUGGUUGACAGAAAUGUGGUUUAAUGUAGAUGAGUUGUAAAAACAUGAGACAAACAUGCUCCAGGCUAAAAAUAUCUGGAUUAAAAAAGAAAAAGAAAAGAAGAGGUGGGAGAAGAGAGAGAGGAAGG